Molecule: unclassified non-coding RNA, 337 nt
Filed under: soil metagenome
Description: partial contains 5.8S ribosomal RNA, internal transcribed spacer 2, and large subunit ribosomal RNA
Rfam family: 5.8S ribosomal RNA (bases 1-120)
Source: RNAcentral
GAUGAAGAACGUAGCGAAAUGCGAUACGUAAUGUGAAUUGCAGAAUUCAGUGAAUCAUCGAAUCUUUGAACGCACAUUGCGCCCGCCAGUAUUCUGGCGGGCAUGCCUGUUCGAGCGUCAUUUCAACCAUCAAGCCCCCCGGCUUGUGUUGGGGACCUGCGGCUGCCGCAGGCCCUGAAAAGCAGUGGCGGGCUCGCUGUCACACCGAGCGUAGUAGCAUACAUCUCGCUCUGGGCGUGCUGCGGGUUCCGGCCGUUAAACCACCUUCAUAACCCAAGGUUGACCUCGGAUCAGGUAGGAAGACCCGCUGAACUUAAGCAUAUCAAUAAGCGGAGGA